AAAAAAAAGAAAUUGUUUUGUUGCAGGCGAGGCACUGAGAAUCGUAGAAAUUCAAUGGCGACGGACAAUAUUUGUGGCAGUCGCCAGAUAUGAAUGCAGGAUUCUGUUUGAGAGCAGGCUCUGGUUCUAAUGCCUGCUGGAAACCUGUAUAGAACUGCCUGCGUAAUCCAUUCUGCAGCAGGAAAACAUCCUGGCUAUUCUCUGGCUCUGUUCAGUCCUUUUUCAGCAGAAUGAGUAACCUAUUGUGUUUAAGGCAAUGCAUAGAAACAAGAUUAGUUAACGAGCUCUCUGUUCAAAUAUGUUAUUAUUUAUAAGUUAU
Carassius gibelio (silver crucian carp) is the source of this 319-nucleotide long non-coding RNA. RefSeq lists it as uncharacterized. Lineage: Eukaryota; Metazoa; Chordata; Actinopteri; Cypriniformes; Cyprinidae. The transcript is spliced from 2 exons. The record is from RefSeq and is a predicted model, not a curated record.